CCCAUCUCUACUAAAAUUGCAAAAAGUAUCCGGGCGUGGUGGCGCACGCCUGUAGUCCCAGCUACUCAGGACUCUGAAGCAUAAGAAUUGCUUGAACCCGGGAGGUGGAGGCAGCAGUAAGCUGAGAUCAUGCCACUGUACUCCAGCCUGGGUGAUGGAGUGAGACUGUUUAAAAAAAAUAAAAAUAAAAAAUAAAAAUAAAUAAAUUAAUAAAAGCAAGUGAGGGAAGUCAGAGAAAAGAGGUGAUGCUGUGGUCUGAACAUUUGUGUCCCCCCAAAUUCCUAUGUUGAAGUCAUAAUCCCCCAAAGUGAUGGUAUUGUGAGGGGGGCUUUGAGGAGGUGAUUAGGUCACAAAUGGGAUUAGUGCCAAAAGGGACCCCAGGGAGAUAGCCCCUUUCACCAUGUGUGGACACAGCAAGAAGGCAGCACCUAUAAACUAGGAAGGAGGCCCUCACUAGACUUGCAAUCUGCUGGCUUCCUGAUCUUGGCCUUUCUAGACUCCAGAACUGUAAGAAAUACAUUUCUGUUGUGAAUGAUUACACAGUUUAUAGUAUUUUAUUAUGGUAGCCUGAAUGGCCUAAGACACGUACUAAGAAGGAAAAGGAGAGUGCAGGGUGGGGGACGUUAAGAGGACAUGGAGAAAGAGAUAUAUUUUUCCAUUUUUAAAAAGGAAACUGAUUUGCUUUCAGAUGGGUGAAAGUUGUGGAAGAAUACAGACUGCGUGUGAACCCCAUCCUAAGGAAGAAGUCAGCUCAUGCACAUCCAGUGGAACCAUCUGAGACUUUCCUUGAGGGAUUGGCCCUCUAGUGAAGAGCAUGGAGUGGACUGGGCCAGGGAAAGAUCCUCAAAUAAUCGUUACAUGAAAAGAAAAGCAGACAAACUAAAUCAGCAACCAUCCCUUUGGAUGCCAGCUGACCUCGGAUGGAGAUUUAGUGCUAGAUGUAAAAGGCUUUGUUUACAGACAAUUAAAAACCACAUAAAUUUAAAUUGUCAAAGAAGAAAUGGUUUCCAAAGCUCCUAA
Molecule: long non-coding RNA, 1020 nt
Filed under: Macaca mulatta (Rhesus monkey)
Lineage: Eukaryota; Metazoa; Chordata; Mammalia; Primates; Cercopithecidae
Description: lncRNA (ENSMMUG00000054625.1)
Source: RNAcentral